AUGAACGCUGGCGGCGUGCUUAACACAUGCCAGUCGAACGAAGCACUUUAUUUGAUUUCCUUCGGGACUGAUUAUUUUGUGACUGAGUGGCGGACGGGUGAGUAACGCGUGGGUAACCUGCCUUGUACAGGGGGAUAACAGUUGGAAACGGCUGCUAAUACCGCAUAAGCGCACAGCAUCGCAUGAUGCAGUGUGAAAAACUCCGGUGGUAUAAGAUGGACCCGCGUUGGAUUAGCUAGUUGGUGAGGUAACGGCCCACCAAGGCGACGAUCCAUAGCCGAACUGAGAGGGUGACCGGCCACAUUGGGACUGAGACACGGCCCAAACUCCUACGGGAGGCAGCAGUGGGGAAUAUUGCACAAUGGGCGAAAGCCUGAUGCAGCGACGCCGCGUGAGCGAAGAAGUAUUUCGGUAUGUAAAGCUCUAUCAGCAGGGAAGAUAAUGACGGUACCUGACGAAGAAGCACCGGCUAAAUACGUG
RNAcentral lists this ribosomal RNA (480 nucleotides) under uncultured bacterium. RNAcentral describes it as "partial 16S ribosomal RNA". It matches the Rfam family "Bacterial small subunit ribosomal RNA", at positions 29 to 507 of the family's 1533-position model. The record is from RNAcentral.